CAGUAGCCGCGGUAAUACAGAGGGUGCAAGCGUUAAUCGGAAUUACUGGGCGUAAAGCGCGCGUAGGUGGUUUGUUAAGUUGGAUGUGAAAUCCCCGGGCUCAACCUGGGAACUGCAUCCAAAACUGGCAAGCUAGAGUAUGGUAGAGGGUGGUGGAAUUUCCUGUGUAGCGGUGAAAUGCGUAGAUAUAGGAAGGAACACCAGUGGCGAAGGCGACCACCUGGACUGAUACUGACGCUCAGGUGCGAAAGCGUGGGGAGCAAACAGGAUUAGAUACCCCAGUAGUCCCUGUCUCUUAUAC
This 301-nucleotide ribosomal RNA is filed under the name uncultured bacterium. Its description in RNAcentral is "partial 16S ribosomal RNA". It matches the Rfam family "Bacterial small subunit ribosomal RNA", at positions 509 to 807 of the family's 1533-position model. The record is from RNAcentral.